RNAcentral lists this ribosomal RNA (543 nucleotides) under uncultured bacterium. RNAcentral's name for it is "bacterial SSU rRNA". It matches the Rfam family "Bacterial small subunit ribosomal RNA", at positions 774 to 1319 of the family's 1533-position model. The record is from RNAcentral.
AGUAAAUAGAUACCCUGGUAGUCCACGCCCUAAACGAUGUCAACUAGGUGUUGGGGGAGCAAUCUCUCAGUACCGCAGCUAAACGCGUGAAGUUGACCGCCUGGGGAGUACGGUCGCAAGAUUAAAACUCAAAGGAAUUGACGGGGACCCGCACAAGCGGUGGAUGAUGUGGAUUAAUUCGAUGCAACGCGAACAACCUUACCUACCCUUGACAUGUCUGGAAUCCUGCUGAAAGGCGGGAGUGCCCGAAAGGGAACCGGAACACAGGUGCUGCAUGGCUGUCGUCAGCUCGUGUCGUGAGAUGUUGGGUUAAGUCCCGCAACGAGCGCAACCCUUGUCCUUAGUUGCUACGCAAGGGCACUCUAAGGAGACUGCCGGUGACAAACCGGAGGAAGGUGGGGAUGACGUCAAGUCCUCAUGGCCCUUAUGGGUAGGGCUUCACACGUCAUACAAUGGUCGGUACAGAGGGUAGCCAACCCGCGAGGGGGUAGCCAAUCCCAGAAAGCCGAUCGUAGUCCGGAUCGCAGUCUGCAACUCGACUGC